GAUAAUGCACUGGUCCUGCCACUUUUGCCUCAGUUGCAAGGUGAACUGACAAAUGAACCAUUACUGUGAAGAAAGAUGGCGGAAAUAUCUGUUCCAAUUUGCAUAACGUUAUCGAUAUGUUCUUUUCCAUUUGAUUUAAAUGAUCGAUAUUCAGAGUAUUGGAACACAAAUCAUGGAAGUAGUUGCAUAAUUCUACUAUCGAAGAACAAACAUCUUUGGAACAUGAAUUUCUCAAUGCAAUAGGCAAUAAUUGUUGCAUUAGCAUAUGACAAUCAUGACUUUUAAGUUGCAUAAGCUUCUUGUCUUU
Molecule: long non-coding RNA, 307 nt
Filed under: Zostera marina
Lineage: Eukaryota; Viridiplantae; Streptophyta; Magnoliopsida; Alismatales; Zosteraceae
Description: long non-coding RNA (ZMAR_LNC005211)
Source: RNAcentral